UGAUGUGAGGGAGAUCUGGCUCUGACAGCUGUCACCCCAUUGAUUGCCAGGUUCAUUCAGCUGAUCUGGCUAGGCAGGUAUCCCCUCCCUCCCUCACAGCUACAAUGUGUCUCCCUACCAAAGCUGCAAUUUUCCUAUUGAAGAGGAUGGCCUUCCCCAAAGAAGAGCCCUCACGGUUCUUUGGUUGAGGGUGUACAAGUAGCUGCAUUUCCUUGCUAGAACCUCCAAAGAAGUUCUCAAGAAACUGUAAUAGACAGUGGAUUGUAUCUCAUCCAGUAGACGAAAUGCAUUAAAAUACAUGAGGACUUGGAUUU
Molecule: small nuclear RNA, 314 nt
Filed under: Erinaceus europaeus (western European hedgehog)
Lineage: Eukaryota; Metazoa; Chordata; Mammalia; Eulipotyphla; Erinaceidae
Description: 7SK RNA (ENSEEUG00000021448.1)
Rfam family: 7SK RNA
About the family: 7SK was discovered as an abundant small nuclear RNA in the mid-70s but a possible function has only recently been suggested.
Source: RNAcentral